RNAcentral lists this ribosomal RNA (433 nucleotides) under uncultured bacterium. Its description in RNAcentral is "partial 16S ribosomal RNA". It matches the Rfam family "Bacterial small subunit ribosomal RNA", at positions 29 to 507 of the family's 1533-position model. The record is from RNAcentral.
AACGAACGCUGGCGGCAUGCCUAACACAUGCAAGUCGAACGAGACCUUCGGGUCUAGUGGCGCACGGGUGCGUAACGCGUGGGAACCUGCCCUUAGGCUCGGAAUAACCCCCCGAAAGGGGUGCUAAUACCGGAUAAUGUCUUCGGACCAAAGAUUUAUCGCCUUUGGAUGGGCCCGCGUUGGAUUAGCUAGUUGGUAGGGUAAAAGCCUACCAAGGCGACGAUCCAUAGCUGGUCUGAGAGGAUGAUCAGCCACACUGGGACUGAGACACGGCCCAGACUCCUACGGGAGGCAGCAGUGGGGAAUAUCGGACAAUGGGCGAAAGCCUGAUCCAGCAAUGCCGCGUGAGUGAUGAAGGCAUUAGGGUUGUAAAGCUCUUUUACCCGGGAUGAUAAUGACAGUACCGGGAGAAUAAGCUCCGGCUAACUCCGUG